Molecule: non-coding RNA, 208 nt
Filed under: Enterococcus cecorum
Lineage: Bacteria; Bacillati; Bacillota; Bacilli; Lactobacillales; Enterococcaceae
Description: T-box sequence
Rfam family: T-box leader
About the family: Uncharged tRNA acts as the effector for transcription antitermination of genes in the T-box leader family. T-boxes are found upstream of many aminoacyl-tRNA synthetase genes and some amino acid biosynthetic genes usually in Gram-positive bacteria. The anticodon of a specific tRNA base pairs to a specifier sequence within the T-box motif, and the NCCA acceptor tail of the tRNA base pairs to a conserved bulge in the T-box antiterminator hairpin.
Source: RNAcentral
UACUUCACAUUGACAAGGAACAGUAAAAAGUGAUGCAGAUUCAGAGAGAGUAUGGUUGGUGCAAAUACUCCUGACAACUUUUGAAGCUCGCCUUGAAGUGAUGGGUGCUGAAAGUAGUAGGCAUCCACGGUGACAAUCGUUAACAUGUUCAAGGUCAGCAAUGUCUGAUGAAGAAUAGGUGGUACCACGUGUGAAUGACGUCCUAUAG